Long non-coding RNA from Bubalus bubalis (water buffalo), 727 nucleotides. RefSeq lists it as uncharacterized. The record is from RefSeq and is a predicted model, not a curated record. The transcript is spliced from 2 exons. Lineage: Eukaryota; Metazoa; Chordata; Mammalia; Artiodactyla; Bovidae.
CCCGGCCUCUUACAAACAUUGGAAGCUUAAUUUAAAGUGCAUUGGCCUCCGUGGUGCCUGUUCGAGGGUUUCCUUGCAUCCGCUCUCCUCCCUGGCAACUGAGAAACAGCGAGAAGCCUCAUCAGGUGGAUGAAUGAGGACUAGACAGAGGGCCUCAGGGAGAAGAAACAGAACAGAGGACAGCGGCAUCUCCUCUCCCAACUUAUCCAGAGGCCAGAUCCUGAAGAGGGGAGACAGUUGGGAGUUACCGAUCGCCCACCCACUACCCACUAGAAGAUCUAUACCUUUUUAUUACUUUGCCCUUGAGAUGAUUGGGAUUGCCUCCAUUUUACAAGCAGCAAAACCAAGAUCCCAAAAGGUAACCGAGGCUCUGCUAGGACAUACAUGAAACUGCAGAGCCAGAACUCAGCCUCAGAUGGCCUGGCUCCAAAGUCCAUAACCUUCCCCACUGUUUCCAGCCCUGCCCUGCCUCUCAGGAUUAGGCAUGUGUUUGUCGAUGCUACCAACUGAACAGACACAGACCUCUUUCACCCUGAUCAAGAGGCAUCCUUACAGGGUCUGGGUUAUGGAAAGAAAUUCUCCAAGGCACCAAUAAAAUCCUGCUCUGGAGUGCAAGAAGGCCUUUUUGGAAAUACUUCCUAAUAAAGUUGACACUGACCUCCCCAAAGCAAAAACAGAAGGGAACUAGAUCAGUCAAAAGCAGAGUAGGUAGAUAAUAAAGCCUCAC